RNAcentral lists this ribosomal RNA (355 nucleotides) under uncultured bacterium. RNAcentral describes it as "bacterial SSU rRNA". It matches the Rfam family "Bacterial small subunit ribosomal RNA", at positions 1 to 334 of the family's 1533-position model. The record is from RNAcentral.
GACGUGACUUCAGAGUUUGAUCCUGGCUCAGGAUGAACGCUGGCGGCGUGCUUAACACAUGCAAGUCGAACGAAGCACUUUGGAACGAUUCUUCGGAUGAGUGAUAUUGUGACUGAGUGGCGGACGGGUGAGUAACGCGUGGGUAACCUGCCUCAUACAGGGGGAUAACAGUUAGAAAUGACUGCUAAUACCGCAUAAGCGCACGGUAUCGCAUGAUACAGUGUGAAAAACUCCGGUGGUAUGAGAUGGACCCGCGUCUGAUUAGCUGGUUGGUGAGGUAACGGCUCACCAAGGCAACGAUCAGUAGCCGGCCUGAGAGGGUGAACGGCCACAUUGGGACUGAGACACGGCCCAA